Molecule: long non-coding RNA, 5627 nt
Organism: Marmota monax (woodchuck)
Lineage: Eukaryota; Metazoa; Chordata; Mammalia; Rodentia; Sciuridae
Exons: 5
Source: RefSeq, a predicted model, not a curated record
GGCACGGGGCAGGACACGCACUGCCAACACGGGAGCUGCUGCCUGUUACAUAAGACCUGUCAAGCUCAGGCCCCUUCUCCCUUCCCCAAGGGGACGGUGCCCAGCCUCAGUCCCAGCAUUACUCAGGGCAGCUGCUUCCAUUGAGGGAUCCCCUGCCUACUUCCCACACCUGGAGGGCCUGCAAGAGAAAGGAAGUUGCCCCCUUUUACCUGUCUGCAACUCCUCUGCCCUUCACGGGGUCAAAGGACCCCGUCACCAACCCCUGGGCGAGAGCCCUUUGGGAACAGAGUGGGAGGCGGCCCCUUCGACCAGCCUUCCUUGCUGGAGUCUGGCCUGGGAGGAGUCACCCGGCAGAGUCCAGCGUGCUGCCGGUUCCCUCACACACCAGCCCUAGUCAAGGUUACGCUUUCCUGCACCUGUCCUGAUAGGUGCCCGGAAUUAAGAGACCGAGAGCCACCUGGUGCCCAGGUCACCGACAGGGAGGGAUCUCCGACAGGUGGCACAUACCUGCCUCUUCUCGGAGGAUGGACGACGAGUCGAACCGGGCACAAGCAUGGAGCUGCGGGUGAGUCCUGGCUGGCACUGGCGCGGCGCAGCGAGCAGCAGCUGACGCAGAGGGCUCCCUGGCCUCGGCUCCUGCCCGCCUCUCCCCCACCUCCGCCCGGGGCCCAGAAAGGACCUCCCCGGGAAAUCGGCGCCACCCAGCGGGCAGCCGCCUCAUCGCGCCAGGGCCGGCAAAGCCACACCCCGCGUCCCCCGUCACUGACCAACGUCAAGGCUAUUGGCUUGUUCCUAUUGUGACAUCACUAGAGCCCCGCCUGGCUAGGGUCUCCCAGGCAACCAAUAUCUACAGAGAACCACGUGGAGGAAAAGCACGCCAGUUUGGAGGGCGUGGAGCACGGAAAGAAGUGGACUGGAAUGUGACACGAUGUGGCAGGUGGAAGAGACAGGGUCUUGCUAAGUUGCUGAUGCUGACUUUGAACUUGCAACCCUCCUGCUCAGCCUCCCGACAUUGGGAUUACAGCACAAGAGGAAGAAGAUCCUGUUACUAGAAUGGCCACCUUGUGUCCACUGAGACACCUUGUGUCUAUUGCCUGAUUCCUGCUCAUGUGGCUUCUGUAGGUCUCGUGUCACUAUGUCACUCCUGGACACAUGGACAUCAUCCUGCUGCUACUUUUUCCUGGAGUGGAAUGAGAAGCCUUUCCCUGUCUCCACAACCUCAGCAGCAACACACAGCCAUGCUCUAGUACUGCCUGUCUUAGAAACAAAUGAAGAUGGGUGCAGAGGUGCACUCCUAUAAUCCCAACCACUCAGGAGGCUGAGACAGAAGGAUCACAAGUUAGAGGCCAACCUGGACAACUUAGUGAGGCCCUGUCUCAAAAUUUAAAAGAAAAGAAAAAAAAAAAAAAAACAAAGCAAAUGCUCCUGGACUCUACCUCCCACAUCAGCCACAGCCACACUUCCUGAAUAAAAGUCUACAUUAGCCAUUCAGUCUCAUGCACCCACUCCAAUCUGGCUUCUGUUACCACCACUCCGUUGAACUGUUCUGCCAGUUAUCAUCCCUGCAUAAAUUUAGUGUCUUUAAAAAACAAUUUAUUGUUGUGUCUUAUUCUUCUGUGGUUGGCUGGGCUCAGCUGGGAAAUUCUCACUUGGGUCUCUUCUUGUGAGAUUGCAAUCAGUGACUGGAACUGGAGUCAUCUGAAGGCUCAGCCUUGCUGGAAGUCCAAGACAGUUCACACAUGGCUGGCAGUUGACCCUGGCUGUUGGCUGGGAGCUUAGCCAGUGCUGGUGACUGGAGGGCCUCCAUGCGUACUCUGCAUAACUUGCACGUCUCAGAAUGGCAGCUGGGUUCUAAGAGGGAGUGUCUCAGGGCUUUCUGGGGGAACCCGCUGGAAGCAAGUCUUCUCAAGAGUGAGUGUUGGCAUCUGGUGCGGCCCUUCUUGCAGCAUCAUGACACGACAGAGGCCCAUACAUGGUGAGAGAGCAUGCCAUCCUGGGGUCCCACCCUCAUGACCCCAUCUCAUCCUAAUCAUCUAGUCAUGCAGCUUCACUUCCCCACAAACUCUUGGGCAUAAGCAAGACACAGUCCACAUGAGACUCAGUGGGAAGGGAUUACACAAGAGUGCAGUUGAUUUAGGGGGCCAUCUUUCACAGAUUGCUACUACAGUCACCAAAAAGUUGGUCCUCAUCUUCCUGAGUUCUUAACAGUAGUUGACUUGGUUGAACAUUUUUUCCCCCAAAAUCUCUCCCUUCUCCGGCUCCGUAGGCCCCUGGCUUUUCUCUUUCCUCACUGAUGCUCUUCCAUCUCCUUUCCUUCUCUUGCUGAAACCUAAAACUUCGACAACUUCAAAUUCUAGGCCUAGAAUUCUAGAAUCAUUUGCAGAAUUAUUUUUCUGAAGUGUUUCCCUGCACCCUCUUCUUUGUCCUGUAGUCAAUGCUGACUGUACAAAUGCUCUCUUCUGCUAGAUAUUACCUUUAACUUUGACCUCUAAUCUGUGCUCAGGACUGGGAUAUAGUCUGUCUUCUUUUUUGGGGAGUAGAAGUCAUUUUUUUUAAUACUAUUUAGUAUUAAAUAAAUAAUUUAUAUGGCCACAUAUAAAUUAUUAACCAUACAUAGUAAUUGGCAAACAAGUAUAUCUUGUGUGUAUAUGUUCUUUUUUUUCAUUUCCAGUAUCUUUCAUUUCCUGCCCUCUUUCCUCCCCCAUCUACUUGCUCUACUCCACCAUCACUCUUCUGUUAUUAUUUUUCAAAUUAAUGUAUCCAGCUGUCUUCUUGUUUGGGGGCAUGGGUACUGGGAUUGAAUCCAAGGGUGUGCUACCACUGAGUUAUAUCCAUGACCGGUUUUUAAAAGACAGGGUCUUGCUAAGUUGUUGAGGCUGGCCUUGAACUUGCAAUCCUCUGCCUCAGUCUCCUGAGUAGCUGAAAUUACAGGUGUGAGCCAUGCACCAUUAGAGCCAUGUCCUCUAGGUUGCUUUUGGUUUUUUUUUGUUUUUCUUUUUGCAGUGCUAGGGAUUAAACCCAGGAUCUUGCACAUACUGAGCAAGUGCUCUACAGUGGAGCUGCAUCCCAGCCCCACUGUCUUCUUGAUAGCUCCGUGUAGGUGUCUAGUGGCGAUUCAGACUUAAUACAUCCAGCUCUCCACUUCCACACCCUCCAGCCUGUUCUCUCUCAACAGAUGCAUCAUUACUCUCUCACAUUUAAGCAAACACACAGGGGAUACCAGAUUCCGUUUAGAUCCUAGAUUCUGUCUCACUACUCUUAACCCCCUCUCCCCAACUUCCAAUAAGCAAGUCCUGGUUUUUUUUUUUUUUGUGUGUGUGUGUGUGUGUGGGUAUGGGGGGGAGAACUUUAAUAUAUUUCUCCAAAUAUAUUUGAUUUUGAUUGUUUAGAAAAUUAAUACAUUUAGCUAGACUUGGUGGCACAUGCCUAUAACCCUAGCAAUUUGGGUCACUGAGGCAGGAUCACAAGUUUAAAGUCAGCCCUAGCAGCUUAGGGAGGCCCUAGGCAACUUAUCAAGACCCUGUAUCAAAAGUAAAAAAUAUAAAAGGGCUGGGGUUAAGCACCCCUGAUCUGGUACCAAAUAAAUAAAUAAAUAAAAAGUAAAAAAAAAAAAAAAAAAAGAAUAUAAAAGUGAUCUGUGACCUUAUCUUACAUUCUCAUUCAUCAAAACAUACUCCCAGUUAAUUAGCUAUUUCUUUUGCUAUUUAUUUCUCUACUUAAAAUUUUCAUAGGUAUGUUUUUUCUUAAUUGUCUAGUGUUAAGUAUUAUAUAUUGACUUUCAACUAUGGAAAAUGUGGGGUUUAAUGGUGUUUAACACUUUAAUAUGCCCAUUUCUUCCACAACCAAAUAUAUUCACUUAUCAUUUUCCAUUGCUUCCCAAAUAGUUUUAUCACAAUUUUUAGUAAAGUCAUUACCUAAUGCUGUGUUAGUCCAUUUAGGCUGCUAUUACAAAGUACCAUGAACAGGGUAGUUUAUCAACAACAGAAGUUUGUUUCUCAUGGUCUGGGAAGUCGAAGAUUGAGGGCCCACAUUUGGUGAGGGCCUUCUCUUUUUUUUUAAUUUAUUUUUUAGUUUUUGGUGGACACUCCAGCCCAGUGAGAGCCUUCUUGUGCUGUAUCAUGACAUGGCAGAAGGCAUCACAUGGUGAGGGAGAGAGGGAGGUAUGCCUGUUGAGAGCAAGAGAGCAAAAGAACCCUCCCAUCCCUUCUACAAUUGGCAUGAAUCCACACAAGAGGAUGGAGCCCUCAGGACCUGAACACCUCGCAUUAGGCCCCACCCCCAAUACUGUUGCAUUGGGGAUUAAGUUUCCAACACAUGCUUUUUCGGGGUACAUUCAAACACUGAAACUUCUCAAGAGUACCCUCUUCAAAUCCUGUCACCUUGGGGGUUAAGGAUUUUAACCUAGAAAUUUUGGAGGGAUACAAACAUUCAGGCUCUAGCAAGCAUUUAUAUUAAUACAAUUAUAUAAAUAUUAUUUGCAGAUAAACCAUGUAAUGGGCUAUGGUUAUCAUUUUUCCCUAUGGAGUGAAUAUUUGCCAUUGUGGGGGGAUUUUGUUAAGAAUUAUAUUUUAAAAAUUUUAAAAUAAUUACAGAUUUAUAAGGAAUUACAAAAAUAGUGCAGGAGGUCCUGUUUGUACCCUUGAACAGUUUCAAGACCUCCUGUAUUCCUUACCCAUUUCUCUAGUGGUAACAUCUUGAUCAGCUGCCGUGCACUAGCUAAGGUGGGAACUGAUGCUGGUAUAAUACUUGGACCUUACUCAGAUUUCACCAGUCCUCUGUUUUAGCUCUGUGUCUCUCAAAGCUACCACUUCCCUUUGUUUUUACCACUACAACAUUGUUCUGAGCUGCCACAUCUCUGUUAGGACUACUGCAACAUCCUCCUGACUUCUUGCUAUUCUCCAGUCUGUUUCCACAUAGCAGCAAGAAGCAGCUUCUAAUCACAAGAGUAGAUCAAGUCCUUUAACACUUUCCUGUUGCUCUUAGAAUACAAUUCUAACUCUUCAUUAUGACCUCCAAGACCCUGUGGGAUCUGGCUAUUUUACCUCCUUAUUUUAUUCUUUCUUUCUCUACCUUAUUUAUUUCCUUCCUUCCUUCUUUCCUUCCUUCCUUCCUUCCUUCUCUCUCUCUCUCUUUCUCUUUCUCUCUCUUUCUUUCUUUCCUUUUUUGCAGUACUGAGGAUUGAAACCAGAACUCUGCAGAUGCAAGGCAAACAUUCUACCACAGAGCUACAUCCCCAGCCCAUUCAUUUAUUUAUUUAAAGAAUUUUUUAGUUGUAGAUGGACACAAUAGCUUUAUUUUAUUUAUUCAUUUUUUAUGUGGUGCUGAGGAUUGAACCCAGCGCCUCACAUGUACAAGGCAAGCGCUCUGCCACUGAGCCACAACCCCAGUCCCAUUUAUAUAUUUUUGAGACAGGAUCUUGCUGUGUUGCCCAGGCUGACCUUGCACUUGUGAUCCUCACGUCCCAGCCUUCUGAGUGGCUGGGACACAGGUAUGUGCUUCUGUACCCAGCAGUGUCUCCCUCUUUAAUGACAUCUCAGACCCCUCCUUGUCUUCAGGCCUUGAGUGACCCUGACUGUUCCCUCCACCUUGUGCCUCCAGCAGUCCUCAGUGGCUGGCUUUUUGUUCUU